UACGAAGGGGGCUAGCGUUGCUCGGAAUCACUGGGCGUAAAGCGCACGUAGGCGGAUUCCUAAGUCGGGGGUGAAAUCCUGGAGCUCAACUCCAGAACUGCCUUCGAUACUGGGAAUCUUGAGUCCGGGAGAGGUGAGUGGAACUGCGAGUGUAGAGGUGAAAUUCGUAGAUAUUCGCAAGAACACCAGUGGCGAAGGCGGCUCACUGGCCCGAUACUGACGCUGAGGUGCGAAAGCGUGGGGAGCAAACAGG
RNAcentral lists this ribosomal RNA (253 nucleotides) under uncultured bacterium. RNAcentral describes it as "partial 16S ribosomal RNA". It matches the Rfam family "Bacterial small subunit ribosomal RNA", at positions 524 to 776 of the family's 1533-position model. The record is from RNAcentral.